CCGUUCCCAUCCCGAACACGGAAGUUAAGCUCUUCAGCGCCGAUGGUAGUCGGGGGUUUCCCCCUGUGAGAGUAGGACGCCGCCAAGC
This 88-nucleotide ribosomal RNA is filed under the name Bacillus inaquosorum. The record is from RNAcentral. Lineage: Bacteria; Bacillati; Bacillota; Bacilli; Caryophanales; Bacillaceae.